RNAcentral lists this ribosomal RNA (510 nucleotides) under bacterium enrichment culture clone ALO1_GLFRUDD03HD5RL. Its description in RNAcentral is "bacterial SSU rRNA". It matches the Rfam family "Bacterial small subunit ribosomal RNA", at positions 9 to 511 of the family's 1533-position model. The record is from RNAcentral.
GAGUUUGAUCCUGGCUCAGAUUGAACGCUGGCGGCAGGCCUAACACAUGCAAGUCGAACGGCAGCACGGGAGCUUGCUCCUGGUGGCGAGUGGCGAACGGGUGAGUAAUGCAUCGGAACGUAUCCUGGAGUGGGGGAUAACGUAGCGAAAGUUACGCUAAUACCGCAUAUUCUGUGAGCAGGAAAGCGGGGGACCUUCGGGCCUCGCGCUCUUGGAGCGGCCGAUGUCGGAUUAGCUAGUUGGUGAGGUAAAGGCUCACCAAGGCGACGAUCCGUAGCAGGUCUGAGAGGAUGAUCUGCCACACUGGAACUGAGACACGGUCCAGACUCCUACGGGAGGCAGCAGUGGGGAAUUUUGGACAAUGGGGGCAACCCUGAUCCAGCCAUGCCGCGUGAGUGAAGAAGGCCUCCGGGUUGUAAAGCUCUUUCGCGAGGGAAGAAAUUGACACCGGACAAUACCUGGUGUAGAUGACGGUACCUUGAUAAGAAGCACCGGCUAACUACGUGCCAG